AGUUUGAUCCUGGCUCAGAUUGAACGCUGGCGGCAGGCCUAACACAUGCAAGUCGAGCGGUAGAGAGAAGCUUGCUUCUCUUGAGAGCGGCGGACGGGUGAGUAAUGCCUAGGAAUCUGCCUGGUAGUGGGGGAUAACGUUCGGAAACGGGCGCUAAUACCGCAUACGUCCUACGGGAGAAAGCAGGGGACCUUCGGGCCUUGCGCUAUCAGAUGAGCCUAGGUCGGAUUAGCUAGUUGGUGAGGUAAUGGCUCACCAAGGCGACGAUCCGUAACUGGUCUGAGAGGAUGAUCAGUCACACUGGAACUGAGACACGGUCCAGACUCCUACGGGAGGCAGCAGUGGGGAAUAUUGGACAAUGGGCGAAAGCCUGAUCCAGCCAUGCCGCGUGUGUGAAGAAGGUCUUCGGAUUGUAAAGCACUUUAAGUUGGGAGGAAGGGCAGUUACCUAAUACGUGAUUGUUUUGACGUUACCGACAGAAUAAGCACCGGCUAACUCUGUG
Molecule: ribosomal RNA, 502 nt
Filed under: uncultured bacterium
Lineage: Bacteria
Description: bacterial SSU rRNA
Rfam family: Bacterial small subunit ribosomal RNA
Source: RNAcentral